Molecule: unclassified non-coding RNA, 171 nt
Filed under: Neotyphodium sp. 'BAFC 2248'
Lineage: Eukaryota; Fungi; Ascomycota; Sordariomycetes; Hypocreales; Clavicipitaceae
Also listed under: 1 other name
Description: ITS1
Source: RNAcentral
CCGAGUUUACACUCCCAAACCCCUGUGAACCUUACCUUUACUGUUGCCUCGGCGGGCACGGCCGCGGACGCCCCCUCGCGGGGGCACCGGGGCCGGGCGCCCGCCGGAGGACCCAAACCCUUCUGUAUUUUUCUUACGCAUGUCUGAGUGGAUUUAAUAUCAAAUGAAUCA